ACUACAAAAAACACUCGGAUUGUAGGCAACAGUUUACUUACUGGGAUUAGUGAUGUAGAUAAGACCAACAUUAUCAUAGUUCAGCCCUCUCUGCUUUGCUUGGGUACGCCCUCAAAGACGAGGGUGGGGAGCGCCGAGUCAGAAGAGAGCUAAAAUGGCGGAGGUUGGGAGUCCCUGCUUUUACUCUGUUUGCAAACUCUUGUUUCAUCGUUUAAGCGAUUAAAUCUCUCGAGUAGACGCUGUCUCUUUAGAUGCAAGGGCAAAAUAGCACUUUAUGGACUUCCACAGAGGACAUCAUGUUUAAUACGGUUCCGGAAAAAUCCAGUCAGAAGUUGUUCACGGAGUUUUCACAAUAACUGCUUCUCAUGAACCGAAGCUGGAUUUGCGCGACGUCUCCUCCUGAAAGUUGGAUUACUGUGCACUUCUGGAUCACAGGCUAUUCGCAGCUGGACACAUCCUUCUACACGGUAUGCAAACAUGCAACAUCAUUACACACAGUACAAGGAGUCAGACUGGCAUAUGAGGAGCAAAGGAACGCAGGCAGUAGCAUCAUUUCACAAUGUUUCCAUCACCAUCAUCAGUGGAUGCCUUUGCCGUCCGUAGCCUGAGAUUUCAGAUUUGCAGCAAAAAAAUUUGAUUUUCUCAUUUAUUGGAAUGCUAUGCAGGUUGUACCUUGCAGCCAUCCAUUACAAUGUCACCAAGCCGUAACAAAAGCAGGAGAGGGAAAGUACAAGGCUAUGUUCCCAAAACACACAAAUGACAUACCUUAUGUGGAGGAUGUGAUCAGGCUUGUGUUUGAUGAGGUAUUUGAAGAUAAGCUGAAGGAAACCCCCAUUCCAAUGGACCUGGCAUCACAGUUUGAGAAACCUUCAAAGGAGGACGUGAUUGCAUGCCAUCUUCAGUGCAGGGGUCGUCGGAAGCCAACAUUCCAAUCAGGAAGCUCCAAGCAUAUCUGGAGAACAACACACGACAGGAUGAUAACCCUAAAGUGUCAUCUUAGAUAGCACCAGCUGACAAAGCUUUGAUAUGCCAUUUAUCUCAAUAGAUAGCUGUAAGAAGUGAAUUGAACAAUUUUUGAAAGAAUAGCACAAUAUGGUUACUAAAGUAUGUUUAUUUGUAUAUUGUUUAACAUUUAAAUAUAUAUUUGUAAUAAAUAAACUUUUGACUGACUACUAUAUUUUCUUUAAAGUUACAUCUUUUGUUCUUUUGGGUACUUUGUUACUAUAAUAAUACUUUAGUGUUAUUGGUUUAAAAAUGUAAUAAAACUUAAUCUAGUCCUGCGCCUCAAAGGCUUAUAGUCGGUACAAUAAAUGUUCUGUGUGUAGGGAUUUAGACAAUUUGUGCAAAACCUGGAUGAUGAAUCACGCAGGUAAGAGGCCCUGGAACCUGUUGCAUUCUCCUUAAAACCUAGUAAGUAAAAACAUAGCACAGUCUUUCAUAAUAAAGUUUACCAUAGUAAAAUAAUGUAGAACUAACAUUCAUUUCAAUUAAUACUUUCUUUGUGCUACAUUUGGUGUUUCCAUAUAGUUUGCACAGUAAAAUAGUAUGUAA
Paramisgurnus dabryanus is the source of this 1551-nucleotide non-coding RNA. NCBI's taxonomy places the organism in Eukaryota, Metazoa, Chordata, Actinopteri, Cypriniformes, Cobitidae. The record is from RefSeq and is a predicted model, not a curated record.